UACGAAGGGGGCUAGCGUUGCUCGGAAUCACUGGGCGUAAAGGGUGCGUAGGCGGGUCUUUAAGUCUGGGGUGAAAUCCUGGAGCUCAACUCCAGAACUGCCUUUGAUACUGUGGAUCUUGAGUUCGGGAGAGGUGAGUGGAACUGCGAGUGUAGAGGUGAAAUUCGUAGAUAUUCGCAAGAACACCAGUGGCGAAGGCGGCUCACUGGCCCGAUACUGACGCUGAGGCACGAAAGCGUGGGGAGCAAACAGG
Molecule: ribosomal RNA, 253 nt
Filed under: uncultured bacterium
Lineage: Bacteria
Description: partial 16S ribosomal RNA
Rfam family: Bacterial small subunit ribosomal RNA
Source: RNAcentral